GGAACAAGGGGUGCCGAUUAUGGCUGAGAGCGAGCGAAAGCCCGCAACCCUGUCACCUGAUCCGGAUAAUGCCGGCGGAGGGAUGUUUG
This 89-nucleotide non-coding RNA is filed under the name bovine gut metagenome. RNAcentral's name for it is "TPP riboswitch (THI element)". It matches the Rfam family "TPP riboswitch aptamer (THI element)", at positions 7 to 92 of the family's 105-position model. Rfam says of the family: Vitamin B(1) in its active form thiamin pyrophosphate (TPP) is an essential coenzyme that is synthesised by coupling of pyrimidine and thiazole moieties in bacteria. The record is from RNAcentral.